GGGGCUGACCGGUAUUGACAGGUUGUGUGAGGGUGUAUGCAGCAUGCAAGCGCAUGAGGGUAGCGCUUUAACCACUGCUCUCAAAUUCUACGUGGCGAGAAUACUUACGCCAUGGCUGCUUAAUCUGACUUAGAGUUAGAUAAGCUUAUCCUUCGAUAAGAUCGGGGGAGGCCAUCAUCGCUCAUCUUUUCUGUUUUGCGGAGGGUGAAUAUGCGGUGUCGUUCAGCAAAACUGGGCCCCGGUGUGUUGCUCACCGGUGUUGAGACAAGACGCAACUACGGAGUUACUUCGGCUGUUGGCUGCCUGGUUAUUCCCGACAAUCAAAGUCAACUAAGCAUGUAGAACGUACGCGUUCAUCUUCUCUGGACGAGGGUUCGAAUCCCUCCAGCUCCAC
This 394-nucleotide transfer-messenger RNA is filed under the name Cytophagales bacterium. It matches the Rfam family "transfer-messenger RNA". From Rfam's summary of the family: Bacterial tmRNA, also known as 10Sa RNA or SsrA, is named for its dual tRNA and mRNA-like properties. Its role is to liberate the mRNA from a stalled ribosome. Lineage: Bacteria; Pseudomonadati; Bacteroidota; Cytophagia; Cytophagales. The record is from RNAcentral.